GAUGAACGCUGGCGGCGUGCCUAAUACAUGCAAGUCGAGCGGUAAGGCUCUGCACAGGUUAUUUGAUCCAUUACAUAUGUAAUUAGCAGCUUUUGGCUAAAGAGCGGUGAAGAGAUCGAAUGAUGUGUGUAGAGUACACGAGCGGCGGACGGCUGAGUAACGCGUAGGAACAUACCCCAAAGUGAGGGAUAACUGCCCGAAAGGGUAGCUAAUACCGCAUGUGGUCUUCGGAUUAAAGCUUUAUGCGCUU
RNAcentral lists this ribosomal RNA (250 nucleotides) under uncultured bacterium. RNAcentral's name for it is "partial 16S ribosomal RNA". It matches the Rfam family "Bacterial small subunit ribosomal RNA", at positions 28 to 220 of the family's 1533-position model. The record is from RNAcentral.